GAACUCGCUUUGGCUGCACAUAUACAUCUGGAACAACGCAGAGAAGAUGAGCAUGUCCCCUGCGCACGGAUGAUACACAAAUUCAUGAAGCAAACCAUAUUUUA
Molecule: small nuclear RNA, 104 nt
Organism: Pteronotus mesoamericanus
Lineage: Eukaryota; Metazoa; Chordata; Mammalia; Chiroptera; Mormoopidae
Source: RefSeq, a predicted model, not a curated record